Mus musculus (house mouse) is the source of this 686-nucleotide long non-coding RNA. RefSeq annotates it as predicted gene, 40899. The transcript is spliced from 3 exons. The record is from RefSeq and is a predicted model, not a curated record. Lineage: Eukaryota; Metazoa; Chordata; Mammalia; Rodentia; Muridae.
UCAGGGUUUCUGACACAGUCAGGAUGUGGUUUCAACACUGUGUCUUGUACAGUAAUAGACGGCAGAGUCCUCAGAUGUCAGGCUGCGGAGCUCCAUGUAGGCUGUGCUGGAGGAUUUGUCUGCAGUCAGUGUGGCCUUGCCCUUGAACUUCUGAUUGUAGGCAGUACCACAAGUUUCAGGAUCAAUAGCUCCAAUCCAUUCCAGGCCGUGCACAGGUGUCUGCUUCACACAGUGCAUUUCAUAGUCAGUAAAUGUGUAGCCCGAAGCCUUGCAGGACAGCUUCACUGAAGCCCCAGGCCUCACCAGCUCAGCCCCAGACUGCUGCAGUUGAACCUGGGAUUGGACACCUAUGAAGAAUAAUGCAGAGUGGAUGUCAUUGUUACCUCAGGCCCUGUCUCCACUUCAGAUUUGGAAAUGAUUCUGACAGAGAAUUUCAGGGGAUAGCAAUAUCAAGCUCCCAUCAACAAGAACUUCCCAGCAUCUGCAAUAGAAUCUGGGUUUUACAACUGCAUAUGGGAUGGAUCUCAAGAUUCUGACAGAGAAUUUCGGGAGAUAGCCAUAUCAGGCUCCCAUCACAAGAACGUCCCACCAUCUGCAGUAGAAUCUGGUCUUGGCAAAUGCAUAUGGGAUGGAUCUCCAGGUAGGGCAGUAUGAAUGGCCUUUCCUUUUGUCUGUGCUCCACAUUU